Molecule: ribosomal RNA, 463 nt
Filed under: uncultured bacterium
Lineage: Bacteria
Description: partial 16S ribosomal RNA
Rfam family: Bacterial small subunit ribosomal RNA
Source: RNAcentral
GAUGAACGCUGACAGAAUGCUUAACACAUGCAAGUCGAUGGGGAAGUGGUGCUUGCACCAUGGCAACCAUGGCGGACGGGUGAGUAACGCGUAAGGGACUUACCUGCAGGACUGGGAUAACAGGGGGAAACUCCUGACAAGACCGGAUAAUGUCAUGGAGCUGCAUGGCUUUAUGAUGAAAGGAGACGCCUGCGGAGAGCCUUGCGUCCUAUUAGCUAGUUGGUGAGGUAAUGGCUCACCAAGGCGAAGAUAGGUAGCCGGCCUGAGAGGGUGGACGGCCACAAGGGGAAUGAGAUGCGGCCGUUACUCAUACGGGGCGCAGGAGGGGAGAAUAUUGGACAAUGGGGGCGCCCGUGAUCCAGCAAUUCUGUGUGCACGAAGAAGGUUUUCGGAUUGUAAAGUGCUUUCAGCAGGGAAGAAGUAAGUGACGGUACCUGCAGAAGAAGCGACGGCUAAAUACGUG